AAAAAGGCAAUGACAGAGAAGAGUACCCCAUGCCAUUUCUUCCAGGGAGAAAGUGCCAAAGACUGCAAGCACUUUUAUGAAAUAAUGGGUGAAGUUCACCUCUCGAGCCGGCAUCAGGACCGCUUGCGGCGUAAAGGUGCUCCGGUGAAGAACCGUUACCUCAAUGAAGUGAACAUGUGUUACAUGUUAAAAAGGGUGGUACCGCGACCAAAGCCUCGUCCCUUUC
Molecule: non-coding RNA, 226 nt
Filed under: Bacillus sp. (in: firmicutes)
Lineage: Bacteria; Bacillati; Bacillota; Bacilli; Caryophanales; Bacillaceae
Description: Bacillus sp. T-box sequence
Rfam family: T-box leader
About the family: Uncharged tRNA acts as the effector for transcription antitermination of genes in the T-box leader family. T-boxes are found upstream of many aminoacyl-tRNA synthetase genes and some amino acid biosynthetic genes usually in Gram-positive bacteria.
Source: RNAcentral